GUGUGAACGUGUGUGAGCAAGAGGCGCCCCCCAGUGGCGGGUUCCUGAGGUGCACCUCCUCCCUGACGCUGAGUCAGAUCUGUCAGUCCAACCAGCAGCCGACGCUGACGUGGUGAGCGCUCUUUGUUCCCAGCUAGUAGCUCCACCUGUGCCUCCACUGUCUCACCCCCAUCUCCCCACCAGCUCCCCCAUGGAGUCCGGCUCCAACCCAGUCUCGGUUUUACAGCCCCAGUCCGACACCUGCGUCUGUGAGUAACCCACAGGCUCACUGUGCUCUGCAGGAUUCGGUGUCGCUUCUGCUGCUGCUUAACCAUGUUUCUCUGUGCCUCAGGGGAAGCGUCUCGCUUUUGUGACUGCACCGCUUUUUGUAGCUCCUCAAGUAAGAAAAUGCGACGUGUUACUGUAUGUGUCUACGUCAGGUUAUGCUGGCCUGCCAUCAAAAGGCGUGUCUGUAUGUGUAGAAACAAAAGUGAUAUUAAAGCAUUAAAGUCUCGGAGCAGAAGGUCGUAAAUGUUUUUUGAAGGUUUGGAUCUGAGGCCAGAGCUCUGCCCUGAGCUUCCUUUGUCAUGCUUUAUGUCCUUUCUUACUGUGUUUUUCUUUUCAGGCCAGUUUUUUGCUACGGAAAUUAUUAUCACAGACUCUUCUAUUACCAUGAGUGUCCUUCAGAACGUGUUGUCAGAACUUCGAGUCCUUCACGCAUGUGAGCCGGGGUCAAACUGUGCAGAUUAUGUAGAGAUUGUGGCGCGCUACCAGGUAAAGCUCACUGCAUCACUGCAAGUAAACGUUCCCCAUCCGUUCACGCUGGCGAUCACGUCUCAUAACAAAUCUCUUUACCCAGGCUGCACAUGUGGAAUGUCCGGGCGCCCAACAGAGGUACCUCCUAGCAUCCAUGUGCUCCAGUCGCUCCUGUUGUGCACAUCUAACAUUGAGGUGAAUGCUGGUAUGGUUCCAGGCUGUACAGCUGCAUGCUGA
RNAcentral lists this long non-coding RNA (972 nucleotides) under Betta splendens (Siamese fighting fish). Its description in RNAcentral is "lncRNA (ENSBSLG00000016242.1)". The record is from RNAcentral. Lineage: Eukaryota; Metazoa; Chordata; Actinopteri; Anabantiformes; Osphronemidae.